This 482-nucleotide ribosomal RNA is filed under the name uncultured bacterium. RNAcentral describes it as "partial 16S ribosomal RNA". It matches the Rfam family "Bacterial small subunit ribosomal RNA", at positions 30 to 507 of the family's 1533-position model. The record is from RNAcentral.
AUUGAACGCUGGCGGCAUGCCUUACACAUGCAAGUCGAACGGUAACAGGUCUUCGGAUGCUGACGAGUGGCGAACGGGUGAGUAAUACAUCGGAACGUGCCCAGACGUGGGGGAUAACGAGGCGAAAGCUUUGCUAAUACCGCAUACGAUCUAAGGAUGAAAGCAGGGGACCGCAAGGCCUUGCGCGUUUGGAGCGGCCGAUGGCAGAUUAGGUAGUUGGUGGGAUAAAAGCUUACCAAGCCGACGAUCUGUAGCUGGUCUGAGAGGACGACCAGCCACACUGGGACUGAGACACGGCCCAGACUCCUACGGGAGGCAGCAGUGGGGAAUUUUGGACAAUGGGCGAAAGCCUGAUCCAGCAAUGCCGCGUGCAGGAUGGAGGCCUUCGGGUUGUAAACUGCUUUUGUACGGAACGAAAAGGCUCUGGCUAAUACCUGGGGCACAUGACGGUACCGUAAGAAUAAGCACCGGCUAACUACGUG